CCCCUAGACGUUCUGGGCUGCACGCGCGCUACAAUAAUACGCACAGCGAGUAUCACCGAGCUCGAAAGGGCAAGGUAAACAAUAGAAAAGGUACUGUAAUGGUUAUAGAUCCUUGUAAUUAUUGAUCUUCAACGAGGAAUUCCUAGUAAGUAUGUGUCAUCAUCACGCGCUGAUUACGUCCCUGCCCUUUGUACACACCGCCCGUCGCUCCUACCGAUUGGGUGAGCCGAUGAAACUCUCGGAUGUAGGCUAUUCAUAGCCCGCAGAAGAGAUUUGAAUCGUAGCGCUUAGAGGAAGGAGAAGUCGUAACA
Molecule: ribosomal RNA, 311 nt
Filed under: uncultured eukaryote
Lineage: Eukaryota
Description: partial 18S ribosomal RNA
Rfam family: Eukaryotic small subunit ribosomal RNA
Source: RNAcentral